Molecule: ribosomal RNA, 515 nt
Filed under: uncultured bacterium
Lineage: Bacteria
Description: bacterial SSU rRNA
Rfam family: Bacterial small subunit ribosomal RNA
Source: RNAcentral
UAGUCCACGCCGUAAACGAUGGAUACUAGUCGUUGGAACUAAUCUCGGUUUCGGUGACGUAGCUAACGCGUUAAGUAUCCCGCCUGGGGAUUACGGUCGCAAGACUAAAACUCAAAGGAAUUGACGGGGGCCCGCACAAGCGGUGGAGCAUGUAGUUUAAUUCGAUGCUACGCGGAAAACCUUACCCAGGCUUGACAUCCUGCGCUACCCUGUGAAAGCAGGGGUUCCCUUAGGGGACGCAGUGACAGGUGUUGCAUGGCUGUCGUCAGCUCGUGUUGUGAGAUGUUGGGUUAAGUCCCGCAACGAGCGCAACCCUUGUCGUUAGUUACCAGCAUUUAGUUGGGGACUCUAACGAUACCGCUGUGCCAUAAGCCAGAGGAAGGUGGGGACGACGUCAAGUCAUCAUGGCCCUUACGCCUGGGGCUACACACGUGCUACAAUGGGAAGAACAAAGCGUUGCUAACUCGCGAGAGUGUGCUAAUCGCAAAAAUCUUUACCUCAGUUCGGAUUGGAGU